UACGUAGGGACCGAGCGUUGUCCGGAAUCAUUGGGCGUAAAGAGCGUGUAGGCGGCUUGCUAAGUCCUGCGUGAAAUCUCGGGGCUCAACCCCGAGCGGUCGUGGGAAACUGGCAGGCUAGAGUGCGGGAGAGGAGAGUGGAAUUCCGUGGUGUGAGCGGUGAAAUGCGCAGACUAUCAGGAAGAACACCCGUGGGCGAAGGCGGACUCCCUGGAACGCAACUGAC
RNAcentral lists this ribosomal RNA (226 nucleotides) under uncultured bacterium. Its description in RNAcentral is "partial 16S ribosomal RNA". It matches the Rfam family "Bacterial small subunit ribosomal RNA", at positions 524 to 744 of the family's 1533-position model. The record is from RNAcentral.